GCUCACUGACAAAAAGUGUUAAAUAGCCGCGGUAUUUUGACCGUGCAAAGGUAGCAUAAUCAUUAGUUUUUUAAUUGGAAACUUGUAUGAAUGGUUGGACAAAGAAAAGACUGUCUCUUUUAUUAAAAUUGAAAUUAACUUCUAAGUGAAAAGGCUUAGAUUUUCUAGAGGGACGAUAAGACCCUAUAAAGCUUCAUAAGUUAAAUAAAUUAGAUGGAUUUUUAGAAUAAAAGUAAAUUUAGUAAGCUUAUUUAGUUGGGGCGACAAGGGUAUAAAAUUAAAUAACUGCUAUUAAGGUUAGACAAUUAUAUUUGGUUGGAUUGUAAUUGAUCCUCGCUAUGGAUUAAAAGAUUAAGUUACUUUAGGGAUAACAGCGUAAUUUCUUUUAAGAGUUCUUAUCAAAGGAGAAGUUUGCGACCUCGAUGUUGAAUUAAAAUGUCUUUAUAGUGCAGAAGCUAUAAAAGAAGGUCUGUUCGACCUUUAAUUUUUUACAUGAUUUGAGU
RNAcentral lists this ribosomal RNA (503 nucleotides) under Scylla serrata (giant mud crab). RNAcentral's name for it is "partial large subunit ribosomal RNA". It matches the Rfam family "Archaeal large subunit ribosomal RNA", at positions 1953 to 2679 of the family's 2987-position model. The record is from RNAcentral. Lineage: Eukaryota; Metazoa; Arthropoda; Malacostraca; Decapoda; Portunidae.